CUUUCAGCCCUCACCUCCCAGGAAUGGGGAGGGGGCAUCCUACCCCAUAUCUGAGGUGCGACUGCGGGACGUAGAGCGGACUGGGCCUUUCCCGUUGGCGCGUGGCCUCAAUCAGGCACAUGUGGGCAAGAAGAACCAGACAGUCCAAGAAACCCAAUCAUGUUGAGACAUGGAGAGCAGAAAAGGAAGCGAGCCCGGAAGAAGUGGAACUUCACAUCAAUGUAGUGCUCCCAAACUUUGGCAGUUGCAACUGAUCGUGUGAUAAAUCAUUCAGGCCAAGUGAGAGACAGUAAGAGAAAUGCAAAAGAGCCCAUGGCCUGUGACACUACUUCCAGUUCUACCACCCACCCGGGGGAACUUCCUUCUUGAUCCCCAAAGGCAAGUUGAGGCAAGUAACAGUUGGAUGUCACCCUGUUUAUCCUGGGAACAUUGGCCUGCAGUCAACAGCAGAAGUGCAUUUUUAGGUGGAAGAUGAAUGUCUGGAUAGCAGUCUCUGAUGGAGAGGCACAUGUGUCCACAUGGAUCUCUCUCUGAAUUCAGGUGGAAUGAAGGAAUCUGUUCUAUUUGGGAACUUUUCUGCUACUGGCACUUCCAAGAGGAGAAGCUUCUCCCAAAGUUCCAGGCUUGGAGGUUCAUCCUCCCAUUAUCUUUACAUUCUGUGUCAUGCCAAGGAAAGAAGACAUGCCACCUAUUACCUUGAGAAGUUCCCGUAGGUCCCUUACUAUUCUUAAACUCUACAAAGUGGGUGUGACCCCCAUCCCUGUGCAUGCUCCUUUGUUAACUUUGGCCACUCAUUCUUCACAUUCUUGAAAGCGCCAGAACCCACCAAUAAAUGGCCGGGUCCUCUGCUUAACCAGAUUGUUUCCUGCAAAGCGACAUGUCCUCCAAGCUUCAAUCUCACAUGCCAUGUUGGAUC
RNAcentral lists this long non-coding RNA (916 nucleotides) under Homo sapiens (human). Its description in RNAcentral is "DXZ4 associated non-coding transcript 1, proximal (DANT1)". Lineage: Eukaryota; Metazoa; Chordata; Mammalia; Primates; Hominidae. The record is from RNAcentral.